RNAcentral lists this ribosomal RNA (796 nucleotides) under Lepthyphantes hamifer. RNAcentral's name for it is "SSU rRNA". It matches the Rfam family "Eukaryotic small subunit ribosomal RNA", at positions 984 to 1798 of the family's 1831-position model. The record is from RNAcentral. Lineage: Eukaryota; Metazoa; Arthropoda; Arachnida; Araneae; Linyphiidae.
CGAAAGUUAGAGGUUCGAAGGCGAUCAGAUACCGCCCUAGUUCUAACCAUAAACGAUGCCAGCCAGCGAUCCGGCUGUGUUCCUCAAAUGACACGCCGGGCAGCUUCCGGGAAACCAAAGCUUUUGGGUUCCGGGGGAAGUAUGGUUGCAAAGCUGAAACUUAAAGGAAUUGACGGAGGGGCACCACCAGACGUGGAUGUUGCGGUUCAAUUUGACUCAACGCAGCAAAUCCUACCAGGCCAGGACACAGGAAGGAUUGACAGAUUGAGAGCUCUUUCUUGAUUCUGUGGGUGGUGGUGCAUGGCCGUUCCUGGUUCGUGGAGCGAUUUGUCUUGUUUAUUCUGAUAACGGACGAGAUUCUAGCCUACUAAAUAGACGCUUCGAUCCUUCGAGUCGAGCGUUCUUCUUAGAGGGACAGGCGAUGUUUAGUCGCACGAGGCAGAGCAAUAACAGGUCUGUAAUGCCCUUAGAUGUCCUGGGCCACACGCGUCCUACAUUGAAGGAAUCAACGUGUGCUUUCCCUGUCCGAAGGGACUGGGUAACCCGUUGAACCUCCUUCGUGCUGGGGAUAGGAAAUUGUAAUUAUUUUCCUUGAACGAGGAACUUCUAGUAAGCGCGAGUCAUCAUCUCGGGUUGAUUAGGUCCCUGCCCCUUGUCCACACCGCCCGUCGCUAUUACCGAUUGAAUGAUUUAGUGAGGUCUUCGGACUGGCGCUCGGAUUGGCCCUCGGGUCGAGCCGGCGUGCCGGAAAGAUGACCGAACUUGACCAUUUAGAGGAAAUAAAAGUCGUAACAAG